Molecule: long non-coding RNA, 479 nt
Filed under: Manihot esculenta (cassava)
Lineage: Eukaryota; Viridiplantae; Streptophyta; Magnoliopsida; Malpighiales; Euphorbiaceae
Description: long non-coding RNA (MESC_LNC000228)
Source: RNAcentral
CCAGUGCAUCACCUGAAAACUCGCACAUCGGCACGAGCACAACAUGCAAAUGCCAUGCCCACACCUUGCACCAGCAUCCAUUUAACACACCCGAGCAUUGGGAUAAACCACUGGAUCAUUUCCUUGAACUGUCAUCAAUGGCCCUGGAACGGGCCCCAUCGGGUCCACCAUGCCCGAGAAUUUUUUUCGAUGUUGAAUCGAGAGGUAGAGGUGGAGAGGGGGCUAACAAGCUUAUUUGCAGGCUAUACCGAUGCCCACAUAUGGCCUAGCGCAUGCCCAGGCCCCGGCCUUGCUGGCCCCCCAUGGGGUGGAAAAUUCAUCCAUAAGUUGAGUGAAAUUUAAUUUAGUUUUUUCUAAUUCUAUUUGUGGGGUUUUGAUACUUGCCUUUUAUGAUAGAUUUAAAUAAGAUUCAUAUUUGAUUUGUUUUGAAAUGAAUUAAAUUCAAACUUUUUGUCUGGAUUCGUUUUCAUUUGAAUUCU